This 439-nucleotide ribosomal RNA is filed under the name uncultured bacterium. RNAcentral describes it as "partial 16S ribosomal RNA". It matches the Rfam family "Bacterial small subunit ribosomal RNA", at positions 339 to 795 of the family's 1533-position model. The record is from RNAcentral.
CUACGGGUUGCUCCAGUGAGGAAUAUUGCACAAUGGGGGAAACCCUGAUGCAGCAACGCCGCGUGGAGGAUGACGCAUUUCGGUGUGUAAACUCCUUUUAUAUGUCAAGAAAAUGACGGUAGCAUAUGAAUAAGCACCGGCUAACUCCGUGCCAGCAGCCGCGGUAAUACGGAGGGUGCAAGCGUUACUCGGAAUCACUGGGCGUAAAGGACGCGUAGGCGGGUUGUCAAGUCAGGUGUGAAAUCCUACAGCUUAACUGUAGAACUGCACUUGAAACUGGCAGCCUAGAGUAUGGGAGGGGGAGAUGGAAUUAGUAGUGUAGGGGUAAAAUCCGUAGAUAUUACUAGGAAUAUCAAAAGCGAAGGCGAUCUCCUGGAACAUUACUGACGCUAAGGCGUGAAAGCGUGGGGAGCAAACAGGAUUAGAUACCCCGGUAGUC